Molecule: ribosomal RNA, 500 nt
Filed under: uncultured bacterium
Lineage: Bacteria
Description: partial 16S ribosomal RNA
Rfam family: Bacterial small subunit ribosomal RNA
Source: RNAcentral
AUUGAACGCUGGCGGCAUGCUUUACACAUGCAAGUCGAACAGUAACAGGGUGCUUGCACCGCUGACGAGUGGCGAACGGGUGAGUAAUGCGUCGGAACGUGCCGAGUAGUGGGGGAUAACGCAGCGAAAGUUGUGCUAAUACCGCAUACGUACUGAGGUAGAAAGUGGGGGACCUUCGGGCCUCACGCUAUUCGAGCGGCCGACGUCUGAUUAGCUGGUAGGUGAGGUAAAGGCUCACCUAGGCGACGAUCAGUAGCGGGUCUGAGAGGAUGAUCCGCCACACUGGGACUGAGACACGGACCAGACUCCUACGGGAGGCAGCAGUGGGGAAUUUUGGACAAUGGGCGAAAGCCUGAUCCAGCCAUGCCGCGUGUCUGAAGAAGGCCUUCGGGUUGUAAAGGACUUUUGUCAGGGAGGAAAUCCCUAGUGCUAAUAACACUGGGGGAUGACAGUACCUGAAGAAUAAGCACCGGCUAACUACGUGCCAGCAGCCGCCGUAA